GAUGAGCGCUGGCGGCGUGCCUAAUACAUGCAAGUCGAGCGGUAAGGCCCCUUCGGGGAUACACGAGCGGCGGACGGCUGAGUAACACGUAGGAACGUACCCCAAAGUGAGGGAUAACAGCUCGAAAGAGUAGCUAAUACCGCAUGUGAUCCACGGAUUAAAGCUUUAUGCGCUUUGGGAACGGCCUGCGUCCGAUUAGCUUGUUGGUGAGGUAAUAGCUCACCAAGGCGAUGAUCGGUAGCUGGUCUGAGAGGAUGAUCAGCCAGACUGGGACUGAGACACGGCCCAGACUCCUACGGGAGGCAGCAGUAGGGAAUUUUCCACAAUGGGCGAAAGCCUGAUGGAGCAACGCCGCGUGCAGGAUGAAUGCCUUCGGGUUGUAAACUGCUUUUAAUAGUGACGAUUAUGACGGUAACUAUUGAAUAAGGACCUGCUAACUACGUGCCAGCCGCCGCAGUAA
This 460-nucleotide ribosomal RNA is filed under the name uncultured bacterium. RNAcentral's name for it is "partial 16S ribosomal RNA". It matches the Rfam family "Bacterial small subunit ribosomal RNA", at positions 28 to 523 of the family's 1533-position model. The record is from RNAcentral.